This 518-nucleotide ribosomal RNA is filed under the name uncultured Acidobacteriota bacterium. RNAcentral's name for it is "bacterial SSU rRNA". It matches the Rfam family "Bacterial small subunit ribosomal RNA", at positions 32 to 535 of the family's 1533-position model. The record is from RNAcentral. Lineage: Bacteria; Pseudomonadati; Acidobacteriota.
AACGCUGGCGGUGUGCUCAGACAUGCAAGUCGAACACGAAAGUCCUUCGGGGAGCAGUAAGUGCACACGGGUGAGUACACGAUAGGUAAUCUACCUUUGGAUGGGGAAUAACACCGAGAAAUCGGUGCUAAUACCGCAUAAUGCAGCGGCACCUAAUGGUGACAGUUGUUAAAGCGGGGGAUCGCAAGACCUCGCGUCUGAAGAGGAGCCUGCGGCGGAUUAGCUAGUUGGUAAGGUAACGGCUUACCAAGGCGAUGAUCCGUAGCCGGCCUGAGAGGGCGGUCGGCCACACUGACACUGACAUACGGGUCAGACUCCUACGGGAGGCAGCAGUCGGGAAUUUUGGGCAAUGGGCGAAAGCCUGACCCAGCAACGCCGCGUGAAGGAUGAAAUCCUUCGGGAUGUAAACUUCGCAAGAACGGGAAGAAUAAGUUUGUGUUAACACCACAAGCGAUGACGGUACUGUUUGUAAGCUCCGGCUAACUCCGUGCCAGCAGCCGCGGUAAUACGGUGGGAGC